RNAcentral lists this transfer RNA (74 nucleotides) under Bordetella trematum. Its description in RNAcentral is "tRNA-Asp". It matches the Rfam family "tRNA". From Rfam's summary of the family: Transfer RNA (tRNA) molecules are approximately 80 nucleotides in length. Their secondary structure includes four short double-helical elements and three loops (D, anti-codon, and T loops). Further hydrogen bonds mediate the characteristic L-shaped molecular structure. tRNAs have two regions of fundamental functional importance: the anti-codon, which is responsible for specific mRNA codon recognition, and the 3' end, to which the tRNAs corresponding amino acid is attached (by aminoacyl-tRNA synthetases). tRNAs cope with the degeneracy of the genetic code in two manners: having more than one tRNA (with a specific anti-codon) for a particular amino acid; and 'wobble' base-pairing, i.e. permitting non-standard base-pairing at the 3rd anti-codon position. The record is from RNAcentral. Lineage: Bacteria; Pseudomonadati; Pseudomonadota; Betaproteobacteria; Burkholderiales; Alcaligenaceae. RNAcentral also lists the same sequence under 1 other name.
GCGGUAGUUCAGUUGGUUAGAAUACCGGCCUGUCACGCCGGGGGUCGCGGGUUCGAGCCCCGUCCGCUCCGCCA